This 403-nucleotide ribosomal RNA is filed under the name uncultured bacterium. Its description in RNAcentral is "bacterial SSU rRNA". It matches the Rfam family "Bacterial small subunit ribosomal RNA", at positions 356 to 773 of the family's 1533-position model. The record is from RNAcentral.
GGGGGAUAUUGCACAAUGGAGGAAACUCUGAUGCAGCGACGCCGCGUGAGGGAAGAAGGUCUUCGGAUUGUAAACCUCUGUCUUUAGGGACGAAGAAAGUGACGGUACCUAAAGAGGAAGCCACGGCUAACUACGUGCCAGCAGCCGCGGUAAUACGUAGGUGGCGAGCGUUGUCCGGAUUUACUGGGUGUAAAGGGUGCGUAGGCGGGUUAUCAAGUUGGGUGUGAAACCUCCGUGCUUAACACGGAGCCUGCAUUCAAAACUGGUAAUCUUGAGUGAGGUAGAGGUAGAUGGAAUUCCCGGUGUAGCGGUGAAAUGCGUAGAGAUCGGGAGGAACACCAGUGGCGAAGGCGGUCUACUGGGCCUUAACUGACGCUGAGGCACGAAAGCAUGGGGAGCAAAC